CCUACGGGUGGCAGCAGUGAGGAAUAUUGGUCAAUGGACGAGAGUCUGAACCAGCCAAGUAGCGUGAAGGAUGACUGCCCUAUGAGUUGUAAACUUCUUUUAUAUGGGAAUAAACUGUUCCACGUGUGGGAUUUUGUAUGUAUCAUAUGAAUAAGGAUCGGCUAACUCCGUGCCAGCAGCCGCGGUAAUACGGAGGAUUCGAGCGUUAUCCGGAUUUAUUGGGUUUAAAGGGAGCGUAGGUGGAUUGUUAAGUUAGUUGUGAAAGUUUGCGGCUCAACUGUAAAAUUGCAGUUGAAACUGGUAGUCUAGAGUACAGUAGAGGUAGGCGGAAUGCGUGGUGUAGCGGUGAAAUGCUUAGAUAUCACGAAGAACACCGAUUGCGAAGGCAGCUCACUGGACUGCAACUGACGCUGAGGCUCGAAAGUGUGGGGAGCAAACAGGAUUAGAUACCCUAGUAGUC
RNAcentral lists this ribosomal RNA (460 nucleotides) under uncultured bacterium. RNAcentral's name for it is "partial 16S ribosomal RNA". It matches the Rfam family "Bacterial small subunit ribosomal RNA", at positions 338 to 795 of the family's 1533-position model. The record is from RNAcentral.